UUGAAGGCUCAAACCAAGUUAAAAUCGAAAAUCGAGCAUAGAUUAUUGAUCCCCAUUGCAAGGGGGUUGUAAGUUUGACUCUGACAAGCUAGGUAGGAGCUUGGAAAUGAACGGGUCAAAUGGAUACAAGUUCAAGUAUGAAGCUCGCAAGGAUGCAAGGAGUAGAUAUCCAAUGGAUACUCGCAUCGCUCUUAAUUAGCAAUUAUAAAGCAAGGUAUUA
Molecule: long non-coding RNA, 220 nt
Filed under: Helianthus annuus (common sunflower)
Lineage: Eukaryota; Viridiplantae; Streptophyta; Magnoliopsida; Asterales; Asteraceae
Description: hypothetical non coding rna
Source: RNAcentral